UACGUAGGGUGCAAGCGUUAAUCGGAAUUACUGGGCGUAAAGCGCGCGUAGGUGGUUUGUUAAGUUGAAUAUGAAAUCCCCCGGGCUCAACCUGGGAACUGCAUGCAAAACUGGCAAGCUAGAGUAUGGUAGAGGGUGGUGGAAUUUCCUGUGUAGCGGUGAAAUGCGUAGAUAUAGGAAGGAACACCAGUGGCGAAGGCGACCACCUGGACUGAUACUGACACUGAGGUGCGAAAGCGUGGGGAGCAAACAGG
Molecule: ribosomal RNA, 254 nt
Filed under: uncultured bacterium
Lineage: Bacteria
Description: partial 16S ribosomal RNA
Rfam family: Bacterial small subunit ribosomal RNA
Source: RNAcentral